RNAcentral lists this transfer RNA (64 nucleotides) under Pholas orientalis. RNAcentral's name for it is "tRNA-Val". Lineage: Eukaryota; Metazoa; Mollusca; Bivalvia; Myida; Pholadidae. The record is from RNAcentral.
GGGGAGGUAGCAUAAAAAGUGUGAUUUGCUUACAACAAAUAGGUGAUUAUUUUGUCCCUUCCUU